This 942-nucleotide ribosomal RNA is filed under the name Escherichia coli. RNAcentral describes it as "partial 23S ribosomal RNA". It matches the Rfam family "Bacterial large subunit ribosomal RNA", at positions 612 to 1557 of the family's 2925-position model. The record is from RNAcentral. Lineage: Bacteria; Pseudomonadati; Pseudomonadota; Gammaproteobacteria; Enterobacterales; Enterobacteriaceae.
AUAAUGGGUCAGCGACUUAUAUUCUGUAGCAAGGUUAACCGAAUAGGGGAGCCGAAGGGAAACCGAGUCUUAACUGGGCGUUAAGUUGCAGGGUAUAGACCCGAAACCCGGUGAUCUAGCCAUGGGCAGGUUGAAGGUUGGGUAACACUAACUGGAGGACCGAACCGACUAAUGUUGAAAAAUUAGCGGAUGACUUGUGGCUGGGGGUGAAAGGCCAAUCAAACCGGGAGAUAGCUGGUUCUCCCCGAAAGCUAUUUAGGUAGCGCCUCGUGAAUUCAUCUCCGGGGGUAGAGCACUGUUUCGGCAAGGGGGUCAUCCCGACUUACCAACCCGAUGCAAACUGCGAAUACCGGAGAAUGUUAUCACGGGAGACACACGGCGGGUGCUAACGUCCGUCGUGAAGAGGGAAACAACCCAGACCGCCAGCUAAGGUCCCAAAGUCAUGGUUAAGUGGGAAACGAUGUGGGAAGGCCCAGACAGCCAGGAUGUUGGCUUAGAAGCAGCCAUCAUUUAAAGAAAGCGUAAUAGCUCACUGGUCGAGUCGGCCUGCGCGGAAGAUGUAACGGGGCUAAACCAUGCACCGAAGCUGCGGCAGCGACGCUGAUGCGUUGUUGGGUAGGGGAGCGUUCUGUAAGCCUGCGAAGGUGUGCUGUGAGGCAUGCUGGAGGUAUCAGAAGUGCGAAUGCUGACAUAAGUAACGAUAAAGCGGGUGAAAAGCCCGCUCGCCGGAAGACCAAGGGUUCCUGUCCAACGUUAAUCGGGGCAGGGUGAGUCGACCCCUAAGGCGAGGCCGAAAGGCGUAGUCGAUGGGAAACAGGUUAAUAUUCCUGUACUUGGUGUUACUGCGAAGGGGGGACGGAGAAGGCUAUGUUGGCCGGGCGACGGUUGUCCCGGUUUAAGCGUGUAGGCUGGUUUUCCAGGCAAAUCCGGAAAAUCAAGGCU